This 120-nucleotide ribosomal RNA is filed under the name Misgurnus anguillicaudatus (oriental weatherfish). Lineage: Eukaryota; Metazoa; Chordata; Actinopteri; Cypriniformes; Cobitidae. The record is from RNAcentral.
GCUUACGGCCACACCACCCUGAGCACGCCCGCUCUCGUCUGAUCUCGGAAGCCAAGCUGGGUCGGGCCUGGUUAGUCCUUGGAUGGGAGACCGCCUGGGAAUACCAGGUGCUGUAAGCAU